Ahaetulla prasina is the source of this 848-nucleotide long non-coding RNA. RefSeq lists it as uncharacterized. The transcript is spliced from 3 exons. Lineage: Eukaryota; Metazoa; Chordata; Lepidosauria; Squamata; Colubridae. The record is from RefSeq and is a predicted model, not a curated record.
AAGGAGCUUUGCGGCAAGCCGGUUGCAGAUGAAGCACAGUGUAGUUCUGAUAUUGAGUUUGACACUAUUUUUCUGAGCAUUAGGGGCAACUUCAGUAGCUGUUUUGUAUUUUUCUUUAGCCCCCUUUUGUGGCAAGGGGCAGAAACACAUGUUUUCCCCACUUUCUAGAACUACAGCCUGGUCGAUGGAUGCAGGAGGAUAAAAGGCAUUUGGCUGGAGUUGUCCUGCUAAACAGACAUCACACCUGUGAGUUUCAGGGAUUAAGGAAAGAGCAGCCCUACAUCGCUGCAGAUGGAGUGACUUUGUUGCUGCUGUUAUGAAGGAACCUGAGAAACAGCUUCAAUACGCCUGAAGAAGAAAUUUGCUUCCUUUGGUGAUUGUAUGAUGCCCCGAACAACAAUUGAGUGAGAUGGGGGAGGAGAGCAGGCCUGUCUGAUCCCAGCGAAGUACUCUUCACUUGCCUUGGGUCGGUCCUGAUCCAGAACCAGCCGGAAAGGUGGUAGCACAACAGCAAUUGAAUUCUCUACGGCUACCAAGAGGAGAGCGUUGGACAUUGUACAGGGAAAGGCUUUCCAGAUCCAAAGGCUUUAUUUUGUUUAUGCCAAGACCAUAAAACCCGGGUGAAAAUGUUGGGUUAGAGAAACAUUGGCUUUAUGGAAGCCAGGAUAAUAUAGUAAGGUAGCAAGGAAGCACCACAGAUAAGGUAUGGGAAAGUACCAGGAUGUUGCGAAUCAUUUCUUUGAGACCGACUUUAUGCAGGAAAGCAAAGAACUCAUCCUUGACUUGAAGCUCAUGGAGGUCACCUGAAUGGCAUUUUUCCAUCAUCCACAAUGGGCAUAACGGUAGAG